RNAcentral lists this ribosomal RNA (468 nucleotides) under Bactrodesmium pallidum. Its description in RNAcentral is "eukaryotic LSU rRNA". It matches the Rfam family "Eukaryotic large subunit ribosomal RNA", at positions 145 to 630 of the family's 3401-position model. Lineage: Eukaryota; Fungi; Ascomycota. The record is from RNAcentral.
GUAAUCUGCAGAUGGGUUUUCCGGCGACGCGCGCGUCCAAGUUCCCUGGAAUGGGAUGCCUUAGAGGGUGAGAGCCCCGUACAGGCGCGCGCCGAGCCUCCGUGAGGCCCAUUCGACGAGUCGAGUAGUUUGGAAAUGCUGCUCUAAUCGUGGGGUAAAUCUCCCAUAAGGCUAAAUAUCGGCCGGAGACCGAUAGCGCACAAGUAGCGUGAGCGAAAGAUGAAAAGAGCCUUGGAUAAGGGCGUCAAAAAGCAUGUGAAAUUGUUGUGGGGGAAGCGCUCGUCGCCAGACGUGGCGGCGGCUGGUUAACCGGCGUCCUCGCCGGCUCACUCUGCCCGCCGCCAGGCCAGCACCGGCUCGGACCGGGGCUCAAUGCCAGCGGGAAUGUGGCUCCCUUCGGGGAGUGUUAUAGCCCGUCGGCGACGCCCUGAACCGGGCCGAGGAUCGCGCAUCUGCUCGGAUGCUGCU